This 74-nucleotide transfer RNA is filed under the name Acidobacteriota bacterium. RNAcentral's name for it is "Acidobacteria bacterium (bioreactor metagenome) tRNA-Glu". It matches the Rfam family "tRNA". Rfam says of the family: Transfer RNA (tRNA) molecules are approximately 80 nucleotides in length. Their secondary structure includes four short double-helical elements and three loops (D, anti-codon, and T loops). Lineage: Bacteria; Pseudomonadati; Acidobacteriota. The record is from RNAcentral.
GGGGCGUUAGGCAAGUGGUUUAAGCCGCCAGUCUUUCAAGCUGGAAAUCGCGGGUUCGAAUCCCGCACGCCCUA